UGCCAGCAGCCGCGGUAAUACGGAGGGGGUUAGCGUUGUUCGGAAUUACUGGGCGUAAAGCGCACGUAGGCGGACUAGUGCAGUCAGAGGUGAAAUCCCGAGGCUCAACCUCGGAACUGCCUUUGAUACUACUAGUCUAGAGUUCGAGAGAGGUGAGUGGAAUUCCGAGUGUAGAGGUGAAAUUCGUAGAUAUUCGGAGGAACACCAGUGGCGAAGGCGGCUCACUGGAUCGAUACUGACGCUGAGGGGCGAAAGGGGGGGGAGCAAACAGGAUUAGAUA
RNAcentral lists this ribosomal RNA (280 nucleotides) under uncultured bacterium. RNAcentral's name for it is "partial 16S ribosomal RNA". It matches the Rfam family "Bacterial small subunit ribosomal RNA", at positions 506 to 784 of the family's 1533-position model. The record is from RNAcentral.